This 804-nucleotide ribosomal RNA is filed under the name uncultured fungus. RNAcentral's name for it is "eukaryotic LSU rRNA". It matches the Rfam family "Eukaryotic large subunit ribosomal RNA", at positions 30 to 821 of the family's 3401-position model. Lineage: Eukaryota; Fungi. The record is from RNAcentral.
GAACUUAAGCAUAUCAAUAAGCGGAGGAAAAGAAACUAACAAGGAUUCCCUCAGUAACUGCGAGUGAAGUGGGAAAAGCUCAAAUUUGAAAUCUGGCAGCUCUUUCAGGUUGUCCGAGUUGUAAUCUAGAGAAGCGUUACCUGUGUUGGACCGUGUAAAAGUCUUCUGGAAUGGAGCAUCAUAGAGGGUGAGAAUCCCGUCUUUGACAUGGACUACCAGCAUGCCAAGGCGCACUCUCAAAGAGUCGAGUUGUUUGGGAAUGCAGCUCAAAAUGGGUGGUAAAUGCCAUCUAAAGCUAAAUAUUGGCGAGAGACCGAUAGUGAACAAGUACCGUGAGGGAAAGAUGAAAAGAACUUUGGAAAGAGAGUUAAACAGUACAUGAAAUUGCUGAAAGGGAAACGCUUAAAGUCAGUCGCAUUAGCUGGAAAUCAGGCUUGCUUUUGCAAGGUGCACUUUCUAGUUGAUGGGUCAGCAUCAAUUUUAAUCGUUGGAUAAAGUCAUUGGGAAUGUGGCAUCUUUGGAUGUGUUAUAGCCCAGUGUUGAAUACAGCGGUCAGGAUUGAGGAAUUCAGCAUGCCUCUAGGGGCCAGGUUUCGACCAUGUUCAUGCUUAGGAUGCUGGCAUAAUGGCUUUAAUCGACCCGUCUUGAAACACGGACCAAGGAGUCUAACAUGCCUGCGAGUGUUUGGGUGAAAAACCCAUACGCACAAUGAAAGUGAAAGUUGAGAUCCUUAGGGAGCAUUGACGCCCGGACCAGACCUUCUGUGACGGAUCCGCGGUAGAGCAUGUAUGUUGGGACCCGAAA